CCAGUGUCAGCCAUCUUGUAUGGGGUUUACUUGUAAACAAACUCGCUGUACUAUGACAGAUAAAAUAAUUGAAGUUAGAAGUAUUUUAGUGAUAAAAUUACAAAGAAGAAGUGUUAAUAUAUUAAAAAUUGGGUGAAUAUCUAAGAGUUCCACGAAAAAGACGCUGGGAGUCCAUAAUCACCUAUAAAAAUGAUAAGUAUAUGUUUUGAUAGCUGCUACUGCAAGCCUAUUAUUUUUACAUUAAUUACAAUCAAAAAAUGUGGAAAUUUAUAUGUAUAAUAUAGUAUGACGAUCAGAUAAUAGCUAACAUAAUAUUUUAAUUUUUGUCCAGUAGGAUUCUCCGCGUUUUUUUUAUUGUGGGGUUGGUUGAGAUUCUCGCCUGAUAAUUUAGCGAGGCCACGCGGUUGGAAUCGGUAUAUUAUGGUCAGGUCUCGAAGCCAGCCUUACUCGAACAAUUGUAAAGAAACUACUCGACAGAAAUAUUGCUUAUUUGCUAAUUAUUCUUAUUGUACAUUUAAAUAACUAAAUACUUUGAAUAAACAUUUUUUUUUACUCUUUAUAGUCAGUCGAACAACUGAAUUGCAGCCCUAGAUCAGAGGUGCCAUGUACGUAGAAUGACAGGGAAUUAUGUUCAAUAAUAAAUCAGGAUUGAAAUGCACGGCCCAGAGAAAAAAUAAUGUAUUGCGGACUACCAGAACUGGCUGUUCCAGUCAUGAGCAACCGAAUGAAUCACGGAGGAACAAUUUUGCUGGAAUUUGAGCUCUUAAUGAGUCAAAUUUUAUCAUUUCAGUCGCAGAUUAUCACGAUCGGAUGCCGGCUUACAUUUUAAUUUACUUCAAUGACAUUCAAGCAAGUAGUAGUUCCCACAUUCUUUGUUACUCAGCAGUUGCAUUAAUCGUAAAACGUUCUAAAAGAUCAAUUCUGAGAGAUCUUAUAAAAGUAAUUUAAUAAGAUUCGUACACGUACCGUGAUCCAGCCACAGAAUUUUGUGGAACAUUUGUACGUGAAUUUCCAUUUUGGAGUACGCCUGAAAACUAUAUAUAGGCCACAUAGUUAUUCUCAACGACUUCUUCCUAGUUGCUUUGUUAAAGGACCUUGGAAAAAAUGCGAAAAAGAUAAUUUUUGAAACUUUUUGUCGUAUUUAUCAAUACAUCAGCAUCAGGUGUACUCGAACUAAAGAAGAGCUAUCGGCGAAUAUCUAUCAGCGGCUAAAAUGGAUGAUGUAUGUAGAAGAUAAAAUGAUGGUAGUGGACGGUAAGCUGGCGAUGUAUCACGAAAAUUUAAAGCGAUUGUGUCGUCAUUUGGAGGUACUUCUGCAAAUACAUUUGGUACCGCAGAUGGAUGUUAGUGCUGUCAGCGAAGUUGCUAGAAGGCGUAAAUUUUCGCAAGCAUUUUUGGUGAUGGCGAGUAAUCUCGCUUGUCAAUUAUUAACGGUACACAAUGAGGAAAUUGCCAGAUGUAGAGAAUUUCAGAGUAAAUUCGACGGGAAUUUUUUUGGACAGCCUAUUUCCGGGUUUGGAGCAUGUUCCGCCUAGUUUCGCUACUCAAGCGCCAACUAUUUUCGAUAAUGGAUAGCCUAAGCUGACUGCGGACGAUAUGGAAUCACUAAAAAUUAAAUUACUCGAUCUCACGGAUUCCAUUUCAACGCCCGAUUUAAGUAGCAUUUGAUAUCACGCAAUUUUUCCUCUCUAAGAGUCUCACGUGAGUAACUACCAGUGAAGAAAAUAAUAUUAACAAAAUAAUAAAAGAAGACGAUAGUACAACUUUAAUGUCUGUUGAUGUCUCAGCUACCAAGAAAACAAGCGAACACAUUUCUCUGAGAUUUGACUUUGAAUCAGAAACAGAAUUUAAAAAAAUAACCCAGCAAAACGUAAGAUACUCAACAUCACCAUUCUCGAAAUUUGAAUAAAAAUUAAAAAUUCUCGAUUGAACUUAAAAAUUAAGGGUGCCGAAUAAACAAGUGGAGGUUGGUUAUUCGUAAUCCUCCAUAUCUCGAAGUACGAAGUACCAACAAUAACUACUACUGCCAUAAGCUCCUAAGUAAAUCGUGCAGAAAAAAUUUCUGCGGAAAUUUGAGCUCUUAUAUGAGUUAAUUUUAGAAUUUGAGAUGCAGGUCAUGUAACAUUAACAUUCUUAUAUAAAAUAAUCGAAAUUUCUUUUUCCGAUCCGAUGCCGGCUAACAAUUUAUUGUUAGCUACAGUUUGGGUAAAAUUUUUGAAAAUUUUAUCCCAAAUUAGGCCAGAUCAUUAGUUUUAUAAAAUAUUAUUUUUAUUAUCCGUGCUAAUUUAUUUCUGAUCGGAUGCCGGCUAACAAUUUAUUGUUAGCUAUAAUUUGGGUAAAAUUUUUGAAAUUUUUUCCCAAAUUAGGCCAGAUCAUUAGUUUUAAAUAGAUUUUAAAAUAAUAAUUUUAAGUCUGAAUAAGAAUAUAUCGAUCGGAUGCCGGCUUACACUUUUAAGUGAGUUGUAAUAUGGAUAAAAUUUUUUUAUUUUAUUCCAUGUUAGGCCAGAUCGUUAUUUUUAAAUGAAUUCUAUAUUAAAAAUUAGAUAAGUUUAUAUAUUAGAGUAAAUUAUAACGAUCGCAUACCAGCUUAUAUUUUCAUGUAAGUUAUAAUUUGGAUAAAAUUAUUACUAAUUUUAUGUCAAAUUAGGCCAGAUCAUUAGUAUUAAUUAAAUAAAUUUUAUUUGAAACAAAAUUUAUGUUAGAAUAUGUUGUAUUGAUCAGAUGCCGGUUUACAUUUUUAUGUAAAAUAUAAUUUGUGAAUAAUUUAUUAAAUUAUCUCAAAUUAGGUCAGGUCAUUAAAUUUAAAUUAAUUUAAUAUUAUAAAUAUUGUGUUUUUUAUUUGUCAGAGAAGAUAUGAAGAGUAGCACGAUUAUUAUUCUAUAUUUUAAAUGUUCAUUUUUUAAUUAAUUUUUUUCUAUAAGUAACGGAGUCUGCCUUAUCUUUGUGGAUAAUGCAGUUAUCUUUAUAUGAAGAUCGCGCUACUCAUCAUUUCUCCUCAAAUAUUUAUUUUUCUCGCCGUCAGAUGUCAUCAAUAGUGGUGGCAUCUAAAAAGAACAUGGCGGCGUCCAUACCAAAAUUCUACUACCGUUACCCCUUAAA
Molecule: long non-coding RNA, 3099 nt
Filed under: Cotesia glomerata
Lineage: Eukaryota; Metazoa; Arthropoda; Insecta; Hymenoptera; Braconidae
Description: uncharacterized LOC123268738, transcript variant X1
Source: RNAcentral